Molecule: ribosomal RNA, 250 nt
Filed under: uncultured bacterium
Lineage: Bacteria
Description: partial 16S ribosomal RNA
Rfam family: Bacterial small subunit ribosomal RNA
Source: RNAcentral
UAGGGAAUAUUGCACAAUGGAGGAAACUCUGAUGCAGCGACGCCGCGUGAGUGAUGAAGGACUUCGGUUCGUAAAGCUCUGUCGUACGGGAAUAAGAAAGUGAAUGUACCGUGCAAGAAAGGAUCGGCUAACUUCGUGCCAGCAGCCGCGGUAAGACGAGGGAUCCUAGCGUUGUUCGGAAUCAUUGGGCGUAAAGCGGGUGCAGGUGGCUUUGUAAGUCAGGUGUGAAAUCCCAGGGCUCAACCCUGGA